This 433-nucleotide ribosomal RNA is filed under the name uncultured bacterium. Its description in RNAcentral is "partial 16S ribosomal RNA". It matches the Rfam family "Bacterial small subunit ribosomal RNA", at positions 29 to 507 of the family's 1533-position model. The record is from RNAcentral.
AACGAACGCUGGCGGUAGGCCUAACACAUGCAAGUCGAGCGCGCCCUUCGGGGUGAGCGGCGGUCGGGGGAGUAACGCGGGGGAACGUGCCCGUUUCCACGGAAUACCCCUGGUAAACGGAGAGUAAUACCGUAUACGUUCCUCUGGGGAAAGAUUUAUCGGAAAAGGAACGGCCCGCGUUGGUUGAGGUAGUUGGUGGGGUAAUAGCCGACCAAGCCGACGAUCCAUAGCUGGUUUGAGAGGAUGAUCCGCCACUCUGGGACUGAGACACGGCCCAGACUCCUACGGGAGGCAGCCGUGGGGAAUCUUAGACUAUGGCGGCAACCCUGAUCUAGCCAUGCCGCGUGAGUGAUGAAGGCCUUAGGGUUGUAAAGCUCUUUCAGCUGGGAAGAUAAUGACGGUACCAGCAGAAGAAGCCCCGGCUAACUCCGUG